AUACGGAGGGUGCAAGCGUUGUCCGGAAUCAUUGGGCGUAAAGAGUUCGUAGGUGGUUUGUUAAGUUUGGUGUUAAAUGCAGAGGCUCAACUUCUGUUCGGCAUCGGAUACUGGCAGACUUGAAUGCGGUAGAGGUAAAGGGAAUUCCUGGUGUAGCGGUGAAAUGCGUAGAUAUCAGGAGGAACAUCGGUGGCGUAAGCGCUUUACUGGGCCGUAAUUGACACUGAGGAACGAAAGCCAGGGUAGC
RNAcentral lists this ribosomal RNA (247 nucleotides) under uncultured bacterium. RNAcentral describes it as "partial 16S ribosomal RNA". It matches the Rfam family "Bacterial small subunit ribosomal RNA", at positions 523 to 769 of the family's 1533-position model. The record is from RNAcentral.